RNAcentral lists this non-coding RNA (178 nucleotides) under Ligilactobacillus aviarius. Its description in RNAcentral is "Lactobacillus aviarius Lysine sequence". It matches the Rfam family "Lysine riboswitch aptamer". Rfam says of the family: Riboswitches are metabolite binding domains within certain messenger RNAs that serve as precision sensors for their corresponding targets. The record is from RNAcentral. RNAcentral also lists the same sequence under 1 other name. Lineage: Bacteria; Bacillati; Bacillota; Bacilli; Lactobacillales; Lactobacillaceae.
UCAGAUAAUAGAGGUUGCAGAUGACAUUAGUAAGUUAAUGGAGUGCCUGUUAGACGUUGAAGUUAACUGAAAGGGGAGUUUGCCGAAAUUCAUUGUUGGAUAACAGUUAACAAUGGGUUGGGACGUAAUUUAAGAGGUUACGGACUGUCGCAAAUGUUUGCGGAGCGCUAUUAUUCAA